UGACAGUCUGGCUCGGUAAACCCCACCCGAAGCAAGACCAAAUAGGGGGACGCUCGAGGGUGGCCCGCCCGAUGUCCCCGGGUCAGGUCGCUCGAGGUGCGUGGUAACGCGCAUCCUAGAGGAAUGGCCGCCACUGCCUGGCAGGGCAACCGCAGGCAGGACAGAACUCGGCUUACGGAUCGCUUCGACGC
RNAcentral lists this RNase P RNA (191 nucleotides) under Deltaproteobacteria bacterium. RNAcentral describes it as "partial RNase P RNA component class A". It matches the Rfam family "Bacterial RNase P class A", at positions 190 to 367 of the family's 367-position model. Rfam says of the family: Ribonuclease P (RNase P) is a ubiquitous endoribonuclease, found in archaea, bacteria and eukarya as well as chloroplasts and mitochondria. Its best characterised activity is the generation of mature 5'-ends of tRNAs by cleaving the 5'-leader elements of precursor-tRNAs. Cellular RNase Ps are ribonucleoproteins. Lineage: Bacteria; Pseudomonadati; Myxococcota; Myxococcia. The record is from RNAcentral.